GAUGAACGCUGGCGGCGUGCCUAAUACAUGCAAGUCGAGCGAACAGACGAGGAGCUUGCUCCUUCGACGUUAGCGGCGGACGGGUGAGUAACACGUAGGUAACCUACCUAUAAGACUGGGAUAACUUCGGGAAACCGGAGCUAAUACCGGAUAAUAUUUCGAACCGCAUGGUUCGAUAGUGAAAGAUGGCUUUGCUAUCACUUAUAGAUGGACCUGCGCCGUAUUAGCUAGUUGGUAAGGUAACGGCUUACCAAGGCAACGAUACGUAGCCGACCUGAGAGGGUGAUCGGCCACACUGGAACUGAGACACGGUCCAGACUCCUACGGGAGGAAGCAGUAGGGAAUCUUCCGCAAUGGGCGAAAGCCUGACGGAGCAACGCCGCGUGAGUGAUGAUGGUCUUCGGAUCGUAAAACUCUGUUAUUAGGGAAGAACAAACGUGUAAGUAACUGUGCACGUCUUGACGGUACCUAAUCAGAAAGCCACGGCUAACUACGUG
This 497-nucleotide ribosomal RNA is filed under the name uncultured bacterium. RNAcentral describes it as "partial 16S ribosomal RNA". It matches the Rfam family "Bacterial small subunit ribosomal RNA", at positions 28 to 507 of the family's 1533-position model. The record is from RNAcentral.